GUAAGCUAUCGCUGAGGGAUGGGCCUGCGGGCCAUUAGCUUGUUGGUGAGGUAACGGCUCACCAAGGCUGUGAUGGCUAGCUGGUCUGAGAGGAUGACCAGCCACACUGGGACUGAGACACGGCCCAGACUCCUACGGGAGGCAGCAGUGGGGAAUAUUGCGCAAUGGGCGAAAGCCUGACGCAGCGACGCCGCGUGGGUGAUGAAGGCCUUCGGGUCGUAAAGCCCUGUCGCAGGGGAAGAAUAAGCAUCGGUAUAAUACGCCGGUGCCCUGACGGUACCCUGCAAGAAAGCACCGGCUAACUCCGUG
This 309-nucleotide ribosomal RNA is filed under the name uncultured bacterium. Its description in RNAcentral is "bacterial SSU rRNA". It matches the Rfam family "Bacterial small subunit ribosomal RNA", at positions 207 to 507 of the family's 1533-position model. The record is from RNAcentral.